AGGGGAAUAGCUGGGCCAAAUGGUGGUUUCAUUCCCAGCUUUCCAAGUAAUCUCCAUACUGCUUUCCAAAUUGGCUGAACCAAUUUUCAGUCCCACCAGCAAC
This 103-nucleotide microRNA precursor is filed under the name Marmota monax (woodchuck). The record is from RNAcentral. Lineage: Eukaryota; Metazoa; Chordata; Mammalia; Rodentia; Sciuridae.